GACGAACGCUGGCGGCGUGCUUAACACAUGCAAGUCGAACGAAGCUUGAUUACGGAUUCUUCGGAUGAAGUAUGAUAUGACUGAGUGGCGGACGGGUGAGUAACGCGUGAGUAACCUGCCCUUCAGAGGGGGAUAGCGUUUGGAAACGAACGGUAAUACCGCAUAAUGUAUUUUGACCGCAUGAUCGACAUACCAAAGAUUUAUCGCUGAAGGAUGGACUCGCGUCUGAUUAGGUAGUUGGUGGGGUAACGGCCUACCAAGCCGACGAUCAGUAGCCGGACUGAGAGGUUGAUCGGCCACAUUGGGACUGAGACACGGCCCAGACUCCUACGGGAGGCAGCAGUGGGGAAUAUUGCACAAUGGGCGCAAGCCGGAUGCAGCAACGCCGCGUGAAGGAAGACGGUUUUCGGAUUGUAAACUUCUGUUCUUAGUGAAGAAUAAUGACGGUAGCUAAGGAGCAAGCCACGGCUAACUACGUG
RNAcentral lists this ribosomal RNA (479 nucleotides) under uncultured bacterium. RNAcentral's name for it is "partial 16S ribosomal RNA". It matches the Rfam family "Bacterial small subunit ribosomal RNA", at positions 28 to 507 of the family's 1533-position model. The record is from RNAcentral.